RNAcentral lists this ribosomal RNA (429 nucleotides) under Chloroflexota bacterium. RNAcentral describes it as "Chloroflexi bacterium partial 16S ribosomal RNA". It matches the Rfam family "Bacterial small subunit ribosomal RNA", at positions 355 to 776 of the family's 1533-position model. Lineage: Bacteria; Bacillati; Chloroflexota. The record is from RNAcentral.
UGGGGAAUAUUGCACAAUGGGCGCAAGCCUGAUGCAGCCAUGCCGCGUGUGUGAAGAAGGCCUUCGGGUUGUAAAGCACUUUCAGCGGGGAGGAAGGCGAUAAGGUUAAUAACCUUGGCGAUUGACGUUACCCGCAGAAGAAGCACCGGCUAACUCCGUGCCAGCAGCCGCGGUAAUACGGAGGGUGCAAGCGUUAAUCGGAAUUACUGGGCGUAAAGCGCACGCAGGCGGUUGAUUGAGUCAGAUGUGAAAUCCCCGGGCUUAACCCGGGAAUUGCAUCUGAUACUGGUCAGCUAGAGUCUUGUAGAGGGGGGUAGAAUUCCAUGUGUAGCGGUGAAAUGCGUAGAGAUGUGGAGGAAUACCGGUGGCGAAGGCGGCCCCCUGGACAAAGACUGACGCUCAGGUGCGAAAGCGUGGGGAGCAAACAGG